AUUUAUUAUUUUGACGUUUGAUAAAAGUUGCCGAUUUGACUGGUAGGCACCACCAUCUUUUAAUAUUUAUUUUUCCUUUACACCAUAAGGGCAUAAUCACAUUGGAGUUCUGGCUUCUCAUCACAAUCUGAAGAUAUUUUCCUCGUUUUCAUUUGAAAGAACCUGACGAAAAUCCAUAUUAAUUAAUUUUACUUAUUUGAAUUUGAAAGUGUCUUUCUGUUACUUUUUCAUGGUCCACCUGUUUAAUUGAUUUUGACCACAUUUGGUACAGAGACAGCUUGCAUCCUGAAAACUGACAUAGGAUACUUUUUAUCCUUGAAAAUGGAAGAUCCCAUUGGGUUUUAUAAAACACCCUUAGUCAACUGAGUCAUUAGUAUUAGUUACGAUAAAACUUCUGAGCUUUCUGAAACUCAAGUCCUUAUAUAACUUAAAUAACUUAUUAAAAACUUAUAAAUCUAUAAAAAAGGUAACUUAUACUUUAGGAUGAUAAGUAAUUUUAUAUAAGAGUUAAUUUGGCGAUAUUACUUACUGAAAAACCAGUUACAUACAAUCAAUGUGAAACUUUAAAUAGUUCCAGCAUCUGCAAUACCUAAUGCUCAAUGCAAAUCUAAAGUUUUUUUUUUUUUAAUUAUAUAGACUAGCGCUUGGCUGCAAUCAGGCUCGCUAGCAAGUGAUGAUGCAGCCUAAGAUGGAGCGCGCUUGCCUAGAAGUUGCCUAUUCACUCUUGACAUGAAGGUGGAAGCGAAAACUGAUGCCGGAAGGACGUUCCAUAUCCUUCAUCAUUCCAUAGUUACCCACAGUGAUGUGCUUAAAGUUUUUUGUAUAUCUAAAUUAUCACAAAUUAUAAUGCCAUCCAAUAAAAAUAAAAAGUGAUAAAAAAUAAAAAAGCAAUUUACCAGAAACCAGUUUAGUAUAACUGGUUUCCCUUCUAUAAGAUAAGUAACUACCUAUUAAGAAACAAAUAA
Molecule: long non-coding RNA, 965 nt
Organism: Maniola jurtina (meadow brown)
Lineage: Eukaryota; Metazoa; Arthropoda; Insecta; Lepidoptera; Nymphalidae
Exons: 2
Source: RefSeq, a predicted model, not a curated record